Long non-coding RNA from Electrophorus electricus (electric eel), 424 nucleotides. RefSeq lists it as uncharacterized. Lineage: Eukaryota; Metazoa; Chordata; Actinopteri; Gymnotiformes; Gymnotidae. The record is from RefSeq and is a predicted model, not a curated record.
CUUUAGCGGAGUAGGAGCAGAGAAGUGCGUUUGGAAGACCUGUCUCAUUGCCACAUCGAUGGAUUACACGAGCAGUUGUGUGGCACUGGGGGGCACUGACGCCUGGCUAGAAGCACUCUGCGCUGGAUCUGUCUGUCUGAGGAUGGGCUGUGUGUCAGGGCUGCAGUGGAGAGAAUGGACAAGGAAAGAGGAGAGAGGAGAGAGGAGAGAGGAGGGUUCAGAGCCAGCUGGCUGGCCAGCUGCCCGGGAGGCAGGCUGUCUUGCUGUCAGAUGGUCAGAGCUGCUCUGCUAUCGGAUCUCAGCUGCGCAGUCUGGAAACAGAGACGGUCACCAGAAACAAGACUUAUGAGGAUAAUGAAGAGCUGCAGUGCGAGCUAUCUGGCUUAGGAACACCGCAGUACUGCCAGUACUAUCGACCCACACU